Molecule: small RNA, 114 nt
Filed under: Spongiivirga citrea
Lineage: Bacteria; Pseudomonadati; Bacteroidota; Flavobacteriia; Flavobacteriales; Flavobacteriaceae
Description: 6S-Flavo RNA
Rfam family: 6S-Flavo RNA
Source: Rfam by way of RNAcentral
ACUCAACGUUAUAACUUUUGAAAAGGGUGAGUUUAAGUUGUAAAAGCGCGCCGUUCCCUAGGGAUUACGGAUUCUUGAGCAACUUGUUAGCCCUAAACUUGUUUUUAGGAGUUU